AGGCAGGGAGAGGGGGCUAUCUCUAGAUCUCGAUGGAGCCCGCGUCUAUAAAUACGCAUUCAUGUCUAGUCAAGUCCCCUUUUUCAACUUCUUCCCUGCGCUGGAACCUCACCCGCUGCCUUGUAACCAUUACCUGGGCCCCUCCGCGCCCCCCACCCCCGUUUGCACCCGGUGAAGCCGGCCGGGAGGGCGCGCGCGGGGGUCUGCGGGUGUCCACGGAACCUUCUGGGAGGCGAGCCGCCGUCCGCCCAGCGCCAAGGCUGGAGCGGCGAGAGGUUGGGUUUUUAAAGCGACCAUUGCCUCCCCGAGAGCGGCUCCGCGCCCCGGGUCCCCGCCGCCGGCACUGUGCACCCACCUACUCCUGGGCGGGUAGGGGGGAGAAAAGUUUUGAGGCGUUCUCAUCUCUGCCUCCAGGGUGGUUGAACUGGUUUUGUUCUGUGUGGGUGAAGCCGAAAAUCCCAGUGCCCAGGAACUAGGGGAUGGUGCUUAGGGAUCUGAAAAGGCUCGGCGCUGGGCUUCGGCUCCUUGGGCUGCGACACGAGUCAGCGCAGGAAGGCGAGAGAGCGAGAGACCCUCGGAGUUGCAUCACCAUCCGAGGAAACUCCGUAGCUUGAUGCUGAUUUGCAUGUUCUCUGUCCUCAUCUCGGCGAUUUUCUUCGGGCGCGCAUCCAUCGACUGAGCCGCGUCCCUCGGCACCCCCAGCAUUUCCCAGAGUGCAACAACACCACCAGGAGAUCAAUGACCAGUCUGUUUAUUCUCCACGCGCCUGGAGGAGCAGGGCACUGAAGGAGCAUGGGAGGGAGGCUCCGGGCUUGCCUGUUUGCUAUCUCUCGCAGACUUUUUCUAGCUAAUUUCUAAACGGCAACCAGCAAGCGUAUAUACAGUUCCUUAAUGCACGCGACACAUACCGACCACAAUAUAUUCACCUAGAAAAGUGAUACAUCCUUCCUCCCCCUUUCCACCCUUUGGAAGUGGAUUGCUAAUACCUGAGAUUUUUGCACUUGUCUGGAGUGGAAACUUUCUGGGGUGUUGGACGAUUGAUUAUUUGGUACCUGCUUUCUAAAAAUGGCUAAACACCUUUCCUUGGAACAAAAGUGAGAAAUGCAAAUCUUAAUAACUCAAGGCAAAAAUUUCAAAGUGUAAGCACAGUUAUUAUCCACUCCCACAAAGAAAAGCUUCCUCUUCCACAAAUAUUUGAUAGCAGAGAGCCCAGUAAUUAAGAGAACAAUCAAAUAAACUCAAGGCUUUCAUGGGGACUCUAAAUUAUCAUCUGCCUAGAAUUUAUAAGCAGCACAAUCAUUUGCCAACUUGGAUGUAGCUCUGGAUAUAGCAUUCUAAAUGUGUAUCCUUAAACAAUUUUACUAUGUUUUCUUAAGAAUGUAAUGAGAGAGACCAUGGAUAAUAAUAACAUUCAAAUUGCUGGAUCAAUGUGGCCUCACCAACUGUGUGAAAAAAUUCUCUGCGUGUGUGCAUGGAACAUUGUUCCUAUACAUUACUUUUCAUCGGAUUUCUUAUAUCAUGCAAGCUUCAAGUCUGAGCCACUCGUGUAAAAAUAGAAGAGUCCAUUAAUAAUUGUACUUUACCUUGAAUUUAAGUGUAAUUUUUUUUGUAGAGAGUCGUUGGCACACAUUAAAUGAUUUAUUCUCAUGACACACAUAUGAAGUUGCUUUUCACAGUGGGCUGUUACUACCCAGGCCCUUAUAUAAUGUGCAAGAGGCAAAUCAGGCCAACUGAAAAAAAAAAAAGGCCUCUCACUACCAAUUAUAUAAAAAUAAGUAACAUUUGACAAGGGGUUGUUGUUUACAGUGAACUUCCACUUCCUCUCAGCCCCUACUCAGUGAAAAUAAAGGGACAGUGAGUCUUUUUCCCCCAGCUCUCUGGCCAAUGGGUGAUAAACGUAUAUGGCUGGCCUAACCCCACCACACCAAGGAGGGUAACAGCUUCUGGACUCAGCAGGCUUCCUACUUGCAGGAGACGGGAGGCUGAGCAGAGGGAAGAAGGGGCAAAGUUGCAAGCUGCCUGGUGAGAUAUUGGUGAAACUUGAAUUACACCAACCUCUUCUUUCUUUGCUCCUACAGGCAGCAGAACUUCCAACCACUUAUGGUUAUUGAAACCACAUGGCCUUAAGACUAACCCAUGAUCAUUAUACAGCAACGACAGAGCUGAUCAAAAACCUCCAGUGGAAUGUUUGUUUGUGUAGGGCUUAAAAAAAAAAAUACCCAUAUUUGAAGUGGGACUGACACAUGAAAGAUCAGUGUUUCCAUUUAUCAAGCAUUUACUGUGUGCCGGGCUCUUGGCCAAGUGCUCUUUUUAUGGAUUUUGUCUCUAUUUUUUACUACAUACUUGCAAAAAAAAAAAAA
This is a non-coding RNA of Vicugna pacos (alpaca), 2360 nucleotides long. Lineage: Eukaryota; Metazoa; Chordata; Mammalia; Artiodactyla; Camelidae. The record is from RefSeq and is a predicted model, not a curated record.